Molecule: ribosomal RNA, 460 nt
Filed under: uncultured bacterium
Lineage: Bacteria
Description: partial 16S ribosomal RNA
Rfam family: Bacterial small subunit ribosomal RNA
Source: RNAcentral
CCUACGGGCGGCAGCAGUGAGGAAUAUUGGUCAAUGGGCGGGAGCCUGAACCAGCCAAGUCGCGUGAGGGAAGACGGUCCUAUGGAUUGUAAACCUCUUUAGGCGGGGAGCAAUGCCGGGCACGCGUGCCCGGCGGGAGAGUACCCGCAGACUAAGCCUCGGCUAACUCCGUGCCAGCAGCCGCGGUAAUCCGGAGGAUGCGAGCGUUAUCCGGAUUUAUUGGGUUUACAGGGUGCGUAGGCGGAUUUUUAAGUCAGCGGUAAAAUGUCCGGGCUCAAACCGGGCCGGCCGUUGAAACUGGGGAUCUUGAGUGGGCGAGAAGUAUGCGGAAUGCGUGGUGUAGCGGGGAAAUGCAUAGAUAUCACGCAGAACUCCGAUUGCGAAGGCAGCAUACCGGCGCCCGACUGACGCUGAGGCACGAAAGCGUGGGGAUCGAACAGGAUUAGAUACCCCUGUAGUC